RNAcentral lists this unclassified non-coding RNA (191 nucleotides) under rhizosphere metagenome. RNAcentral describes it as "partial ribosomal RNA internal transcribed spacer region". The record is from RNAcentral.
GUAGGUGAACCUGCGGAAGGAUCAUUAAUAAUGCCCUCUGACUUCGGUCAGCUGGGUUCAAUGUGUGUCAACUCUUCGGAGUUGGCCAUCCACACACACCGUGAACUGUGGCUUCGGCCAUCACAAACUAUUAGUAAUGAAUGUAAAAUCAUAACAAAAUAAAACUUUUAACAACGGAUCUCUUGGCUCUC